RNAcentral lists this ribosomal RNA (322 nucleotides) under uncultured eukaryote. Its description in RNAcentral is "partial 18S ribosomal RNA". It matches the Rfam family "Eukaryotic small subunit ribosomal RNA", at positions 1470 to 1796 of the family's 1831-position model. The record is from RNAcentral.
CCCUUAGAUGUUCUGGGCCGCACGCGUGCUACACUGAGUGGAUCAGCGGGUCAGGUUGCGCGAAAGUGUUUCCUAAUCUUGAAAUCCGCUCGUGAUGGGGAUUGACGGUUGCAAUUUUCCGUCAUGAACGAGGAAUACCUUGUAAGCGCGGGUCAUCAUCCCGCGCUGAAUACGUCCCUGCCCUUUGUACACACCGCCCGUCGCACCUACCGAUUGAGUGGUCCGGUGAGGCUUUGGGAUCUGAGCGGAAAGAGCGUUUCGCUGUUUCUGCUCGGAAAACUCAGUCGAACCUUAUCAUUUAGAGGAAGGAGAAGUCGUAACA